This 253-nucleotide ribosomal RNA is filed under the name uncultured bacterium. Its description in RNAcentral is "partial 16S ribosomal RNA". It matches the Rfam family "Bacterial small subunit ribosomal RNA", at positions 524 to 776 of the family's 1533-position model. The record is from RNAcentral.
UACGGAGGGUGCAAACGUUGCUCGGAAUUAUUGGGCGUAAAGCGCACGUAGGCGGACCGCUAAGUCGGAUGUGAAAUCCCUCAGCUUAACUGAGGAAGUGCAUUCGAAACUGACGGCCUUGAGUACGGAAGAGGGUCGCGGAAUUCCCGGUGUAGAGGUGAAAUUCGUAGAUAUCGGGAGGAACACCAGUGGCGAAGGCGGCGACCUGGGCCGAUACUGACGCUGAGGUGCGAAAGCGUGGGGAGCAAACAGG